This 2552-nucleotide long non-coding RNA is filed under the name Malus domestica (apple). RNAcentral's name for it is "long non-coding RNA (MDOM_LNC011081)". Lineage: Eukaryota; Viridiplantae; Streptophyta; Magnoliopsida; Rosales; Rosaceae. The record is from RNAcentral.
AAGAUAUGACAUUGAAACUUUUUGAAGACUAGGUAUGAAGUUGUUAAUGACCUAAUAGUUGAAGUAGUUUUAUGUAAUUUAUCCAAAAAUUAAUAUAAGAUGUUAACGUAGCUUAACCGUGAUCAUUCAAAUAGGAGGGGAGGGAAGGGAUGGGAAAAAAAGAAAUGAGAGAAUCCUACUCCUCAUUGGAUUGAUGUCGAGGUUCUGGUACUGGUAGUUUUCAAUGUCUUUUCUCAAACACUCUACAUUAGGUAAGCAAUGAAGAUUCAGAAACUUAUCAUCUAUUUGUAAUAUUUCUCCAAUAAAUAUAUGUAGAUCUCAUCUAUAUUAGAGAAAUUGUACAAAUAAAUGGUAAGAUUGAAGUUGUUUUAUAACUCUUCAUGUUAAUAAGAGUAAAAACUAAAUAAAGUUCUCUGAGUUUUAAUAAAGAAAUUGUUAUUGACAUUCCAAAAAUCUAAUCUCGCACUCUAAAUUUUUUAUAAUUAAAUAGAAAAAUACAAUUGUGAGAAAUAUAGAAUAAGAUUUUUAGAAUGCUAAUAACAAUUGCCUUUAAUAAUAAUAAUAUGAUAAAAUGACCGACAAAUUAAAACCUUAACAUCUUUGGAAAUUGAUGUUCAAUAUAUAAUUGAAAAGAUCGUAUAUCAGAUGUUAAAUUGGCAGAUUUCGGUUGUUUAGUUUGUAAGUUACGAAGAAUCGAAUACUCAACCGAUCAUAUAUAUAAAGUUUGCACAUAAUUUAAUAGUUUGAAUUAAUCUACUUGAGUUUAUUCGGUGUUCGAUUUGGUUCUAUUGAAUAGUUUUUGGUAGAAAUGAGUCCCCUACAACAAAAUGUAAUAUACGGAGUGGAAGUAGGAUUCUCUCCCCUCUUAUUACCAUCCCCUCCUCUCACACUCUUAUCUUUUUCUUAUUCUCUAUAUAAAAAAUUCAAAACAAGAUGUACACGUGGCGAAAUCUCAACCUUUUAAAUAGAAGAGGAUGGAAGAGGAAAUAGAUUAAGAUGGGAGAGAAUCUUACUCCUACGGAAUGGUGGGCAGAGAAGUUACUAACUUGUAAUUCAGGGAGUGAUAGGUUUGUUUCAUCUGCUAUUGUUAAGUCAUUUGAAUUUUGAUUUAUAUGGAUGGUUUUAGACUUUGAGUUGGUGUAUAUAUGUUUGGGUGGGUUGUUGUCUAGAUUUUAAUUUCCUCAUCAGAAAUCAUAGAAACAGAAUCCUAGGUUUACUUGUCCUUUACUGCAUAUAUUUCCCUCCUCUGUCUUGUCAAAAAGGUAAACUUCACUAAAGAUCAAGGAAAAUGACCAUUUGUGAUAGAUGGAUUAAGUCCAAACAAAACACAAAACCUUAAAUAAACAAAGAGAGAUAAUAGAAAAAAAAGGAGCUGAAGAAGAGCUACAAUCCAAGAUACAAUAUAAUACUCACACAAGCUUAGGCCGUAGGCAACAAAAACAAACAAUAAAAAAAACUCUAAACUCAACCAGUAGAACUCAAACUGCCCCUGCCACCGCUCAUCCCCUUGGGAAGCCAGCACCCCAAAAUUAAAAUAGCACCCACACCAAAAACUAGAUCCGAAGAAGGUAUGUUCAACAAUCGGAUAUCUAAUUCAUUAUUAUGAGUUGGAAAAGAGGAGAGGGAGCAAAGGAGAGAAAGGAAAAGAAGGUUUGUCCUGACGUAUUUUAUAUAACGGAACUUUAAGCCGUUAUUUUUUGGUUAUUCAAUCAUUGACCAAAGAUCUAACGGUCAUGGAAUUUCUUUUAUAUUGAGACAGAAACCACAUAGGAUGGUGGGAUGUAGCUGGUCUGCAUCUCUUUUCCCCUCAUGAAUGUAAACCAAAAGUCCCAUUGAGAAAGAGAAUGAUUUACAUGAAAUAGAUUUAUCGUCACGUGACAUUUUUUGUCCAAUAAUGCAUUGUUAUGUGUAAGUUUUUCUCUACAUAACAAUAUCUUAUUGAAUUGAGACGCUAUGUAAUAAUAAUUAUGUGUCAUGUAAGUUGUUUUUAUUAGAAAGGAGAAACAUCAGCGACAAGCUUAGGUCUCCUAAUCUAGAAAGAGAACCAUUGGGAAGCAAGAAAAAUGUUGGACAAUACACGACAGACAAGUCUAUGUAGAUGGCAUUGGUAUGCAAAAUCAUCCAACUGAUUUGAAGCUCUACAUAUAUAUUAUAUAGUACGAGUAACCUUUUAGCAUGAGACUGUAGCUGCAGAAAAAUAGAAUGCAGGCUCUGUUUUUAACUAACGCCAAGGUUUGCCACAUCAAGGAUAACUAGUUUAAAUCGUCCCGUCAAUUGAUUUUAUGUUGAAUUCUAACAUAGUUAUUAGAACAAGUUAUUUAAGUGUUAGAAUUAGGAUCUCUAACAAUUUUCUUUUUAAUUUUAUUGGUUUAGCUAGUGAAUGUUUCAUUCACUUUGAAUAAUAGUACUGUUAUGGUGGCUAAAGACUAGAAAGAUACAAGGAGUGGGUUGCUUUAUUUAGACGUGGUUGGGAUAAUUUUCAAUUAAAAAAAAGUUAUUCCUUCCUCAAAUUAGGUGUCGUGGUCUAAUUUCUUGUAAGUCUUUAUAAAUUU